This 72-nucleotide transfer RNA is filed under the name Xylona heveae TC161. It matches the Rfam family "tRNA". From Rfam's summary of the family: Transfer RNA (tRNA) molecules are approximately 80 nucleotides in length. Their secondary structure includes four short double-helical elements and three loops (D, anti-codon, and T loops). Further hydrogen bonds mediate the characteristic L-shaped molecular structure. tRNAs have two regions of fundamental functional importance: the anti-codon, which is responsible for specific mRNA codon recognition, and the 3' end, to which the tRNAs corresponding amino acid is attached (by aminoacyl-tRNA synthetases). tRNAs cope with the degeneracy of the genetic code in two manners: having more than one tRNA (with a specific anti-codon) for a particular amino acid; and 'wobble' base-pairing, i.e. permitting non-standard base-pairing at the 3rd anti-codon position. Lineage: Eukaryota; Fungi; Ascomycota; Xylonomycetes; Xylonales; Xylonaceae. The record is from Rfam by way of RNAcentral.
GCCCUGCUGGCGCAAUGGUAGCGCGCGAGACUUCUAAUCUCGAGGUUGCGGGUUCGAGUCCCGCGUGGGGCU